GUCAGGACUCCACUAUACCAGCAGACUGGCAGAUUUCCAACAGAAAGAUACUCCCCACCUUGGAGAACUUGUGAUCUGAAAGUCAGGCAAGAAGCUCUGAACAGAGACACAGGGAAAUUCUGUUUGAAAAAAAACUAUUUUGCCCUUUCAUAUGGAUUCUCACACUCUUUGCAUGCAUCUUGCCUGUGGAAGAGAUGCAAGGCUGAUUUGGUGACAUAUCAUCCUUGACACAUGACACAUAGAGACCAUGCUUCAAUCAACACGCCGUGCCUCUGGGCAGUGUGGUGUUACAGCCUCUGCAGGGGAAUGCCACUGCCUGCAAGACGC
RNAcentral lists this long non-coding RNA (327 nucleotides) under Taeniopygia guttata (zebra finch). RNAcentral describes it as "lncRNA (ENSTGUG00000027882.1)". Lineage: Eukaryota; Metazoa; Chordata; Aves; Passeriformes; Estrildidae. The record is from RNAcentral.